AUAAGGGAAAUAUCAGCAAUUCUGUGAUUCAACAUGCACUUUCCUUGUAAAGGAAAGCCAACAUAAAAAUACUUCUCCAUCUGAGAUCAAUAAAAAUGCCCUAAUUUUCAAAGAAAUACUCUCGUGGAGCUGUCAAGAAGAGUACUACAAAACUGCAUGCUGAAAUGUCAUUGCCUUUUGGAGAACAACAAAUUUUUCUAACACCCAGAUCAAUGUAGUGUAGAGUCUUAAUCAAUUCAGACUGAAAUUCUUUGAAGUUCUUACGCAAAAGCCAGCUGGUGGAAGUGUGUUGUAAAAAGAGCUAUCUGAAUUAUUCAUUGAGAAUAAUCUGUGUUAAGAAUUUACCCUCCCACUGCUCCACCUCCUUUUCAGGAUUUGUCUGCAAUGCAGUCCUCAUCUCUUGCAACUCCAAGACUAGAAGUCGCUAGCCUGAGAUAAUUAAAACGUGGAAUCACUCUUGCACAAAUGAUCAGGAGACAUUUAAAGAAGACAUUUUCAAGAAAAUGCUACGUAUAAAGGGAUGUGUGACAAAGUUUGAACUGGCAACAAUGUGGUGAGAACAAGAUAUUGCUGAAGAUAUGUGACCUCAAUAGAAGGUUUAUUAGAUCUUCAAAUAAACAGCCUAUCUGCAUUCUGCUUCCA
RNAcentral lists this long non-coding RNA (642 nucleotides) under Anser brachyrhynchus (Pink-footed goose). Its description in RNAcentral is "lncRNA (ENSABRG00000000609.1)". Lineage: Eukaryota; Metazoa; Chordata; Aves; Anseriformes; Anatidae. The record is from RNAcentral.